Molecule: non-coding RNA, 146 nt
Organism: Gossypium arboreum
Lineage: Eukaryota; Viridiplantae; Streptophyta; Magnoliopsida; Malvales; Malvaceae
Source: Rfam
UGUUAAAAAUUUCAUCCAUUUGUAUAGUUAAAAAUUGGCAUGGUUGACAGAAUAAUAAUACAAUAACCUGUGACAUGCCAUGUGUACCUCAUGCUGAUAUACAGGGACCAAUUUUUAACAGCAGAAAUGGAUAAAAAAUUUUAACA